UACAGAGUGUGCUAUCGUUCUUCGGAUUUUCUGUGCGUAAAGCGUGCGUAGGCGGUUUUUUAAGUCGGAUGUGAAAUCCCCGAGCUUAACUUGGGAAUUGCAUUCGAUACUGGGAAGCUAGAGUAUGGGAGAGGAUGGUAGAAUUCCAGGUGUAGCGGUGAAAUGCGUAGAGAUCUGGAGGAAUACCGAUGGCGAAGGCAGCCAUCUGGCCUAAUACUGACGCUGAGGUACGAAAGCAUGGGGAGCAAACAGG
RNAcentral lists this unclassified non-coding RNA (253 nucleotides) under uncultured bacterium. Its description in RNAcentral is "contains 16S-23S intergenic spacer region". It matches the Rfam family "Bacterial small subunit ribosomal RNA", at positions 524 to 776 of the family's 1533-position model. The record is from RNAcentral.